This 73-nucleotide transfer RNA is filed under the name Gemmataceae bacterium. RNAcentral describes it as "tRNA-Phe". It matches the Rfam family "tRNA". From Rfam's summary of the family: Transfer RNA (tRNA) molecules are approximately 80 nucleotides in length. Lineage: Bacteria; Pseudomonadati; Planctomycetota; Planctomycetia; Gemmatales; Gemmataceae. RNAcentral also lists the same sequence under 1 other name. The record is from RNAcentral.
GGACAGAUAGCUCAGCUGGUAGAGCGAAGGACUGAAAAUCCUUAGGUCCCCGGUUCAAUCCCGGGUCUGUCCA